Molecule: ribosomal RNA, 495 nt
Filed under: Argyropelecus lychnus
Lineage: Eukaryota; Metazoa; Chordata; Actinopteri; Stomiiformes; Sternoptychidae
Description: partial 16S ribosomal RNA
Rfam family: Bacterial large subunit ribosomal RNA
Source: RNAcentral
AUCACUUGUCUUUUAAAUGGAGACCUGUAUGAAUGGCACGACGAGGGCUGAACUGUCUCCUACCUCUAGCCAGUGAAAUUGAUCUCCCCGUGCAGAAGCGGGGUUACCACCAUAAGACGAGAAGACCCCAUGGAGCUUAAGACACUAGGUAGUCCAUUUUAAGUAACUCAUUUUAACUGGGGAUGAAGUUAUGGUAUACUCUCUUACUUGUUUUCGGUUGGGGCGACCACGGAGGAAAAGAUAGCCUUCAUGUGGAUAGGGGGUAUAACUUCUACAAUUGAGAUUAACAGGUCUAGAUUACAGAAAUUUUGACCAAAGUGAUCCGGCUAUUGCCGAUUAGCGAAAUAAGUUACCCUGGGGAUAACAGCGCAAUCUUCUCUGAGAGUUCCUAUCGACGAGGGGGUUUACGACCUCGAUGUUGGAUCAGGACUUCCUAAUGGUGUAGCCGCUAUUAAGGGUUCGUUUGUUCAACGAUUAAAGUCCUACGUGAUCUGA